This 274-nucleotide unclassified non-coding RNA is filed under the name uncultured fungus. RNAcentral's name for it is "sequence contains ITS1". The stretch from base 1 to 104 matches the Rfam family "5.8S ribosomal RNA", at positions 49 to 154 of the family's 154-position model. The record is from RNAcentral. Lineage: Eukaryota; Fungi.
UGAAAUGCGAUAACUAGUGUGAAUUGCAUAACUUUGUGAAUCAUUGAGUCUUUGAACGCACUUUGCGGCUUCCGUAAUUGGAGGCCAUGUUUGUUUGAGAAUUGUGCUCUAUACAAUUAUUUAUAAUUGUGUUUUGAGGCCCGAGUUACUUCUGCCAUGAAAAAAAUAUGUAGCGGUGGCUGGUUGCUGAAUCAAGUGAAAUUAAUUCAGGACUGCCACCCGCAACUGUUAAUUCGUCAAUCUCAAAUCAAGCAAGAACACCCGCUGAACUUAA